RNAcentral lists this transfer RNA (76 nucleotides) under Stenotrophomonas phage Philippe. Its description in RNAcentral is "tRNA-Gln". It matches the Rfam family "tRNA". Rfam says of the family: Transfer RNA (tRNA) molecules are approximately 80 nucleotides in length. Their secondary structure includes four short double-helical elements and three loops (D, anti-codon, and T loops). Further hydrogen bonds mediate the characteristic L-shaped molecular structure. tRNAs have two regions of fundamental functional importance: the anti-codon, which is responsible for specific mRNA codon recognition, and the 3' end, to which the tRNAs corresponding amino acid is attached (by aminoacyl-tRNA synthetases). tRNAs cope with the degeneracy of the genetic code in two manners: having more than one tRNA (with a specific anti-codon) for a particular amino acid; and 'wobble' base-pairing, i.e. permitting non-standard base-pairing at the 3rd anti-codon position. The record is from RNAcentral. Lineage: Duplodnaviria; Heunggongvirae; Uroviricota; Caudoviricetes; Schitoviridae.
AGGGGGAUCGUACAGCGGUCCAGUACCCCGGCCUUUGACGCCGGUAACCUAGGUUCAAAUCCUAGUCCCCCUGCCA